AAUAACUUUGUAAUCUCGAUUGAUAUCAAUGGAUUUUAUUAAAGGGUAAUUUGCAGGGCACACCCUUUGACCAUGUUUUAUUUUCAGGGAUUGCAAAAGUGAAAGGUGGUUUUCACGUUUUGUCUUUUCAACUGAAAUUUGACCAUUUUGCCCUUGCUGCUACAGAUGAGAAAUUGUUGAAUGUAUGGUUUAGUUAGUCAGGUUUAGUUAGGUACACUGUUCCGGUUUAGUUAGAGAUAUUUUUGUUUCACGUUGAGGAGCGCGCUUUACAGUUAGAAGGGAGAUUUUUUCAUUAUAAACGAAAUGACAUCAACAUUUAAUGGCCCAAAAAGUUUAGACGUGACUCUUGUUAUAAUUAAUGCAAAAUCAUCAUUACAUGUUAUUA
This 385-nucleotide small RNA is filed under the name Arabidopsis thaliana (thale cress). RNAcentral describes it as "ATSL285400". The record is from RNAcentral. Lineage: Eukaryota; Viridiplantae; Streptophyta; Magnoliopsida; Brassicales; Brassicaceae.